Molecule: long non-coding RNA, 396 nt
Organism: Xyrauchen texanus (razorback sucker)
Lineage: Eukaryota; Metazoa; Chordata; Actinopteri; Cypriniformes; Catostomidae
Exons: 3
Source: RefSeq, a predicted model, not a curated record
CAAAACUGCAGGUGGAGGACCACCGCCAACAGAAUUGUCAGACACUACUAUACUGGUCCAAGACAUCCUUGGGGAGGACUCACCUGUCCUGGCUGGCAUCACUGGCGGCUUAGAGAGUGAAGCGACUCAACCAGAGGAAUAUAACACGGAACCUUUCCAGCAAUCAAAGCAGCUUCAACACCGACAGAGUAGCUACGCCAAACCAGGCAGCAAAAAAGAUGCAAAUACCCUCUCCAGCCUCUACAAGAGAAGAAGUGCUGGAACUGCAGAGAGACGUCCUACAGCUACAAAAGAAAAAACUGCAAUUAGAGAUCGAAAAACUUAAAAAGGAGAAGGAAAAUCAAGACAUUUACAACAUCAUUCUUAUAAUAACAAACUUUUGCAGCUACAAAGUGA